GACAGAGGAUGCAAGCGUUGUUCGGAUUCAUUGGGCGUAAAGGGUGCGUAGGUGGCGGGGUAAGUCAGGUGUGAAAUCUCGAGGCUCAACCUCGAAACUGCACUUGAUACUGCCUUGCUCGAGUACUGGAGAGGAGAUUGGAAUUUACGGUGUAGCAGUGAAAUGCGUAGAUAUCGUAAGGAAGACCAGUGGCGAAGGCGAAUCUCUGGACAGUUACUGACACUGAGGCACGAAGGCCAGGGGAGCAAACGGG
RNAcentral lists this ribosomal RNA (253 nucleotides) under uncultured bacterium. Its description in RNAcentral is "partial 16S ribosomal RNA". It matches the Rfam family "Bacterial small subunit ribosomal RNA", at positions 524 to 776 of the family's 1533-position model. The record is from RNAcentral.